RNAcentral lists this ribosomal RNA (253 nucleotides) under uncultured bacterium. RNAcentral's name for it is "partial 16S ribosomal RNA". It matches the Rfam family "Bacterial small subunit ribosomal RNA", at positions 524 to 776 of the family's 1533-position model. The record is from RNAcentral.
UACGCAGGGGGUUAGCGUUGUUCGGAAUCACUGGGCGUAAAGCGCACGUAGGCGGAUUGUUAAGUCAGGGGUGAAAUCCCGAGGCUCAACCUCGGAACUGCCUUUGAUACUGGCGAUCUAGAGUCCGGGAGAGGUGAGUGUAACUGCGAGUGUAGAGGUGAAAUUCGUAGAUAUUCGCAAGAACACCAGUGGCGAAGGCGGCUCACUGGCCCGGAACUGACGCUGAGGUGCGAAAGCGUGGGGAGCUACCAGG